GGAGCUAUUGGCUUUGAAUUGUAUUGUGGAAAUGUAUUACCAACAGAGGUGCAGGUGCCAGCCUAUUGAAAUAAAGCGUCAAUGAGGGUGAGAAUCCUGUUUGUCAUGUGCAGCCCUUUGUGCACGGUGUAUAUUUGCUGAGUCACACUCCUUGGCAUUGGAAUGCAAAGUGGGUGGUAAGUUUCAUGUAAAGGUAAACAUGCAAUUGAGACUGAUAGCACACAAGUACCAUGAGGGAAAUAUGAAAAGGACUUUGAAAAGAGAAUUAAAUGAGUUUGUAUUUGCUGAACACAAAGUAAACAGACUUGAUUUGCUUGGUGGGAGUGUUGCACUUGCUUGACAAGAGCUUUGGGCUGUGGGUGUAAUGAUUCUUUCUUUGCAUGCCAGUUUCUAUUUGUACAUCUGAUUACCUUUGCACAUGAAUGAUAAGUCUCCUGUGGGGGGUGGAUUGCAUGUGCAUGUAAUGAUUUGUGUUUUGAUAAAUGUGUCUGGUGUAUGUGUGUGUUCCUGUGCUUGGGGAUGCUUCCUUCCUUGGACUUACAAGCCCUGACACACACAUGCUGGCAAAAUGCUUCUGCUUGACCCGUCUUGAAACACGGACCAAGGAGUCUAACAGAUGUGCAAAGUUUGAAGGUGGUAUACCUUUGUGUGCAAUGAAAGUGUCAGCUGGGAUAUGUGCACCAGCACCCAAUUAAUUAGCGGACAGAGGUUUGAGUUGGAGCAUAUCUAUUAGGACCCGAAAGAUGGUGAACUAUGCCUGAACAGAAUGAAUUCAGAGGAAACUCUGAUGGAGGUUCGUAUCGAUACUGACGUGCAAAUCGUUCGUCAUAUUUGGGUAUAGGGGCGAAAGACUAAUCGAACCAUCUAGUAGCUGGUUCCCUCCGAAGUUUCCCUCAGGAUAGCUGGAGUUGCUCAGUUUUAUCAGGUAAAGCGAAUGAUUAGAGGAAUUGGGGACAGGUUUGUCUUUGACCUAUUCUCAAACUUUAAAUGGGUAAUAUGUAGUGGUUGCUGUAUGGAACUUCUAAGAUAAAUGGCAAUAUUGGGUGGGCCAUUUUUGGUAAGCAGAACUGGCGAUGAGGGAUGAACCUA
This 1089-nucleotide ribosomal RNA is filed under the name Alexandrium catenella. RNAcentral's name for it is "partial large subunit ribosomal RNA". It matches the Rfam family "Eukaryotic large subunit ribosomal RNA", at positions 123 to 1171 of the family's 3401-position model. Lineage: Eukaryota; Dinophyceae; Gonyaulacales; Pyrocystaceae. The record is from RNAcentral.